Paramuricea clavata is the source of this 447-nucleotide non-coding RNA. The record is from the annotation of a GenBank genome assembly. Lineage: Eukaryota; Metazoa; Cnidaria; Anthozoa; Malacalcyonacea; Plexauridae.
UUUUUUUUAUAUAUAUAGCCUCUUUGGGUACUUAUAAUGUAGAAUAAUGAGAAAAAUUUCUCGAACUCAAAUUUUGUGAAUCAGGGGGGUGUGUCUUUUCCAACAAACUAAAAAUGGCUCGCGCACAAAAUUUAAAAGCUGCAAUCAUAUUUUGAGUUAACAGAUGGAAAACUUGUCGGGUUUUUAAUUACUGUACAAAAUUUCAGACAAUUUGGUUUAGUUUAAGCCCCUUAACUAUUCACGCAAAGUUACAUUUUCCCUAAAAAUCAGCUAUUUGCAUGCUUAAUUAAUGCAUUUGCCUAAUUUGCAUAUGUCAGCAAUAUGCAAAUUAGGUAAAGGCAUUAAUUAAGCAUGCGAAAGGCUGACUUUUUAGAACAAAAUGAAUAGUUAGAGGGCUUAAACUUAACCAAAUUGUCUGAAAUUUUGUACAGUAAUUAAAAACCCGAC